Molecule: ribosomal RNA, 253 nt
Filed under: uncultured bacterium
Lineage: Bacteria
Description: partial 16S ribosomal RNA
Rfam family: Bacterial small subunit ribosomal RNA
Source: RNAcentral
UACGUAGGGAGCAAGCGUUGUCCGGAUUCACUGGGUGUAAAGGGUGCGCAGGCGAACUUGUAAGUCAGGGGUGAAAUCUCACGGCUUAACCGUGAAACUGCCUUUGAUACUGCAGGUCUUGAGUUCGGGAGAGGUUGAUGGAAUUCCAGGUGUAGCGGUGAAAUGCGUAGAUAUCUGGAAGAACACCAGUGGCGAAGGCGGUCAACUGGCCCGUAACUGACGCUCAGGCACGAAAGCGUGGGUAGCGAACAGG